This is a non-coding RNA of Sus scrofa (pig), 9675 nucleotides long. NCBI's taxonomy places the organism in Eukaryota, Metazoa, Chordata, Mammalia, Artiodactyla, Suidae. The record is from RefSeq and is a predicted model, not a curated record.
UACCUGGAAGAUGCAUUUUGUGUGUGUUUGAGAUAGAGAGACAGGGAGGGGGGGAAGUCUUUUGAAAGAUUUGAGGAAUUGUCUACUCUAGCACAUCAGCAUAAAAAUUACAUUUUAUGACUGGGACCUGCACCCUAGCAAAAGAGAAGAGACUGGUUUUGGAACUGAUGACAGUAAGCUCCUUGGGUAAGGUGUUAAAACAGGUUUGAUACUUUGCUUGUUCUUUGAGUGCUUACCUUGCACCUGUGCCUAGAGAGCUCUAGGUGGCUUGAGACUGGGCUUCUUUCCGUGAGAGCCCCGGCCUGCUGUGCUUAGGUGCUGAGCUUCUCUCUUCCCAUUUUCAUUCCAGACAGCAUUCCUCCUGUUGAGGCCGCAGAUGCUUCUCUGCUCUGCUGCCCCGGAGGUAUGCUGAGCCCCGGGAGGGGCGCCUCACCUGGACCUUUGGCCUUCCUGCCGGGGCCCCAGCAGUCCCGGUUGGGGGACUUGUCUGAGGAGCUCUCCGAGCUUUCUUUGGAGGCAGUCAUUGAAAUGCAUUUGAUUUUGGAACGGUGUUUAAAGAGCCGGGAUGCCGCUGACGUCUGUUUGUCAUCCGGGCAAACGCCUGUUCCUGGGACAAUAGCGGGACAGUUUCCUAGCUUUGCUCAAAUAUUGACACUGCCAGGUCUGGGGCAGCCAGUUUUUACCCUUUGGACUCAGGCGUGCACUGAGGAAUUAUGACUGUGACGAAAGCCACAGAGUUACAAUCUUGGGCUUGGAAGGUAGAGAAAGCAAGUCCAUUGAGCACCCAUUACUGGGCAGGCGUGGUAAAGGCUGUUUUUUUUUUUUUGUUUUGUUUUUUUUGUUUUUUUCCAACAUGCAUAGUCAUCUGUAACGAAGAAAAAUUAUGAGAUACACAUCAUCGUCCUCACUUCACACUGGAGCUGGGAGAUGAACUGGCUCAGCCAAGGUCCGGUCGCGUGGACGUGGCAGAGCCGAACUCCGCACGCCCGUGUCUCUCUCUGCUCUCAAUUCCACGCUCCUUAGCCAGCAGCCCAUCGUUCCAGUGCAAACGGUGAGGCUCAUGAUGCUCUCGGCGGUCUGGCCAGGGAAGGCGAGUCUGGACCCGAAGCUGGAGAAGGGCCUCCUGGAAGGUGUGCUGGCAGCCGCCGCAGCACCUCCCCACAAAACCGCAUCCUGCUUCCCGGCCGAGCCCAGGGCCUCAGGGUUGGCAGAGCACCACCGGGAGCUUGGAAGCACCUCCCCGGUACCUUCCAGUCUUCCCUACUUGGUCAGCUCUGGCUCGUUUCAGUGCAGAAACCUCCUACCUCCUCUCCCGGCCUCUCCCCUCGCUCGACCUCCAGGCUGCUCUUUGGAAUAAGCUUUCCAAAGACCCAACCAUAUCGCGGUGCUUCUGAGCUUUCACUCUUCCAAAGGCUUCCUGUUAUAAUUCAGAUGAAGCCUGAAUUCUUUGGCCGAGCUGCUAGCCCCCAAAGGUCAUUUGGUUUUCUGUUUUGUUUUGUUUUUAUUUUUCCCUUUUUUUUUUUUUUCCUUUUCUAGAGCCGCUCCUGCGGCAUUUGGAGGUUCCCUGGCUAGGGGUCAAAUCGGAGCUGUAGCCACCAGCCUAGACCAGAGCCACAGCAACAGGGGAUCCGAGCCACAUCUGCCACCUACACCACAGCUCACACCAACGCCAGGUCCUUAACCCACUGGGCAAGGCCAGGGAUCGAACCCGCAACCUCAUGGUUCCUAGUCGGAUUCGUUAACCGCUGAGCCACAACGGGAAGUCCAAUACUUGUCAUUUUCUGGCUUUUUGUUUUGUUCUGUUUUUGGGUGGUGCUUGCCACCCUUGUGCAUGUGAAGUUACAAUUAACUUUUCAUUGGCUUGUUUCCCGCAUGAACAAACUCCGCAGAGGCCGAGACUAGCCUAGAUCUUGUUCGUUAUGGUCCUCCAGGGCCUGACACAUGGAGGGGGUGCUGGAUCACUGUCUGUAAAAUGGGUGAGAAGACCUGAAUCCUCCCGAUGUGCUUGCUUCCGUGAAUCUAGGGGUUGGACGGGGACAACAGGCAGGACUGCAAUAGCUGCACUAGGUGGCUGGCUCCGUGGCUUUAAUGGUCUCACCGAGAGGCUCCCGACCCGGAGGGUGGCCUGAGGGUUCAUUUCUCCAGCUCGGGAUGGGGAGGAAGGUACUCACGUCUGCUGGCAUUUCUGUCUGUGACUCUGGGGAGUCUUUCUAUCCCAGAUGCAUUUUCGGAGGACACGGGAACCCUGCCUAAUGAGAAAGCCAUUCAUUCUGAGUGGAGGAGGAGAAGAAAAAAAAGCGAAACAAAAGUUCCUUUCCUGGAGUUCCCAUCGUGGCUCAGUGGUUAGCGAAUCCGACUAGGAAUCAUGGGGUUGCAGGUUUCAUCCCUGGACUUGCUCAGUGGGUUAAGGAUCCGGCAUUGCCGUGAGCUGUAGUGUAGGUCGCAGACGCGGCUCGGAUCCCGCGUUGCUGUGGCUCUGGCGUAGGCCGGUGGCUACAGCUCCGAUUCAACCCCUAGCCUGGGAACCUCCAUAUGCCACGGGAGCGGCCCAAGAAAUAGCAACAACAACAACAACAACAAGACAAAAAAAAAAAAAAAAAAGUUCCUUUCCUGGAAACAGGCCACACUGAUUAUACAUUCGUAAUAAUCAAGCCUGAAGCCCAGCUGUCAUGUCCUGAAACAACUCCAUUUAGCCAAAUUACAGGUGGGCUCUUGUGGACUGCUUAUCUUUUCCUGGCUGGCUGUUUUUGUUCCCAAAUCUUGGGUGUGGAAAGGUGAGCCGGAAGCCAAGAGGGGUCUGUUCCCUGAUUCCCUGGGGUGGCGGCCCAUAAAGACGGUGCCCAGAAGAAACGGCCGUGAAGCCUUCUCGGUAACGCUCCUGGGGUGUGAGGGGGGUUGAGGGCCACGGGUGUGUCUGCAAGACGCUCGAAUCCCUCUCCACCCUCUGCCAACAUUCCGCCUGGUCAGGUUUUGCUGUCAGGAGUCACAGCCUGUUCUCCCAACUUGGUUUGUCUUUCUCCACUUUGUUCUCCGUUUGCCGCUGUGAAGCCCACGGGGGGGCCCAGCCCUGGGAGCUUCCUGGUGAAAUAAUCGUCUUUCAAGUGUGGGGCUGCUUUUCAGCUCCAUCCUCCUUUUUUUGUUGAGUUGGAAUCCCCGCCCAACUCACUCCAAUAAACGUCUCCUCUGGGCGUUUUCCCCUCAAGACGUGGUAGGAACUCCUGAUCCUUUGAGGGAAGAGAAUAGGAAGCAGGAGCGAGGCCUUUGGGCAAGUCUGAGUAAACAGUGCUGACCUUGUGUAAAGGGCGCUCAUGUCGCUAAACGGCCGUGGAAAUACAAAAGAUAAGAGGAAGGACACAGCAGCCCUGUCCAAAUAUGGCCCACUUGAACGCUGGAUGGUAUCUCGGCCUGGCAGGAAAAUUCCAGAUGUCCCUCUGGCUGCAGAUGUUUCACCUUAUCUGCCUCUGCUGAUAAACGGAAGACGAGCUUGGUAUCGGGAGGUGCUGGUUGUCUGAAGAAGUGCAGCACUGGUGUUGGGGCGCCUCUCUGCCCGCGCCCUAGCCUUUGCCCGACGCCUCGGAUACACCCUGACUUAUCAUUUCACCCGGACCUGCCCUCAGUGGCUUCGUUUGCAUGGCUUCUUCCAAUGCGGAUCCCAGAGGAGCCAGAGACGGCCCGUCCCCUGUGCCUCGGGGUGCUGUUGAGUCACGGGAAGGGGAAUUCUGCCCCCCCCCCCCAAAGCCCAAAGCUGCUAGCGACUUUGUUUUUUCUGGCACACUAACUAGGCCCAAAUCUCCUGGCCUCCAGUUCACACUCCCAGUGCCUCCAGCAGAGAGAAACGUGGCUCUUGCUCCCUCAUGUUUGCACAUAUGACGAGUCUACUAAUAGCUUCUGACCGGUCGGGCAGCCCUGCUUUUGAGCAAGCCAAACACUUGUAACCUGAACGUGGAAACACAGCACAGUUUUGUACAAAGAAGGCUGUGCAGAUUUUUAACUCCUUUUGCUCCCGACGGCAGCCUAGGAGAGAACUUCCAAACUUCAGCAGAAAUGCAGGACAGAAAUGCAAGUUUAAGCUCCAGCUUCUGGGCUGCACACUUGAGCAAGAUCAUUACAGAUAGAACAGAACCUUUGACCCGGGCAGUUCAGGCUGCGCUGGGAGGUGCAUCUGGAUGGAUCCGCCCCGAGGUAGUGUAUUUACAAUGAGAAUUGAAGGAAGAGUUUUGAAACAUCCUGUCACAGGAUGUACUGACGCGCCUGCCUGAACAGGCGGCGGAGGAAACCGGGAGCGGGUGCGGGAUCGGUGACCACACCGCCCUCUGGUGGUUUUCCCGAGAAAUAAACGAACGAGCUGCAGGUGGACCCAAGGUCUGCGGCAAAUUGACCCCAAUCAGCUCCCCAGCGGUGUGUUGUUGAGAGGGAGGAGGCGGCGAGGGAGGGAGGGGGAGAGACGGGAAGGGAGAGGAUUCCUGCCCACGGCUUUCACCUCUGGGGCCCUAGCGACGGACCGGCCGACUGAGGUCCAGUUUGGGCCUCGGGGCAAACCCCUUGCCCCAGCUUUCCAGCAAGGGAUGCUAGUGACAAAUCUUGACUGCGUAUUUGGACCAGGGCCCCGGGUUCCUUUCUAGCCGCCGAAGCUUUGCCCCUGCUGCUUCUGGCCUGCAUUCCCUUUCGAGGGCCAACAACCCCCGCUGAAAAGAGGAACCGUGUCUAAAAUUCCUGAUCUCGUUGGGCUGUCAUAUGCAGCGAGAUAAAUAGGAGCCUCUUUGGUUAGAGCCAGUCACCUGCUCACCAAUGAAGACUGACGUGGGUGUGCAGCCAUCACAGCUAAGGUCAGUCAUGACUUACCCGGGAUGGUUCCUGAGCACAUAACUCUGAAGAAUGAUGUGGACACGUGAAUAUAAGCUGGACUCUGCCAACAAGCCAACAGCAGAGAGCGCAGGAGAGGAGGGCAGGUGUCAAUAGGACAGGCGCUAGUAAGUCCAGGGUGAUGUCCUCAGCCGAGUCAAUGUAUUUACACCCUUACUUGUUCCUCCCUAGAUUCCCCAAGCCCACCCCUCGGCAAUCUUCACUCCCUUUCACUUCCCAGCACUUGUCAUCUGUGCUUUCGUCCUGCUUGCUACCACUCACAUUCUGCUCUGGAUGUUUUUAAAGUUUUUUGAGUUUUAUGCAUAGAUUGACCCGUUGAAACUCAACAAUCACUGUUUGUAUCAUUGUGCUAUAUAAUUAGUUCUCUUUCAAAAGCAAAUUUCUGUCUUCUCUGCCUACCUCAUGUAUAGAAGUACCCAGCAGGCACUUGCAUUUGCGGAAUGAAUGAAUAUGCCUGAGUUAUUUACAAAUGGAUUGAUUCCGCCUCUAAUGGCAAGUCCAGUAGGGUGGCAAGGAGUGGGGGAGCGGUGAGGAAAGGCUUGCAGGAACACGCCUACAUUUUGGUUCUGGUAUGAAGGUGGUUAAAGCCACUUAUGGAAACAAAACCUUUGGCCUGAGGGAAAUCUCAGCUUGUAUGUGCAAAUUGCAGUACCCUGUUGGGACAGAAGGGGGCCCCUUCCAGGGCCGGAGGCUGGGGCUCUUGUCUAACACAAGAGGAGACACCUAUGCUGACAAAGCAAGAGACUUUAUUGGGAUGGGCGCUGCGUGGAGAGCCCCAGGGUGAGGCAACCCAGGAGAACUGGUCUGCCAUGUGGCGCACGGUCUCUGGUUUUGGGGAAUGGGGUUAGUUUCUGGGUUGUCUCUGGCCAGUAGUCAUGCCCGACCCCUGCUUGGUCUGGCUCAGCAUCCUUCUUGGUGGCUCCUGCACCUUUCAGCCAAGAGGGAUUCCAGCACCGAGGAUUCUGGGAGGUUUGUUGUCUCCUCCCUCCACUGGCCCCUCCCAACUCCUCCCAGGUAGUCUUCAGGGCAGCACCACGGGCCUUAUCAGGGCCUCCUGCUGGGAGACAACUCUUUCAAGUGGCUGUUAUCCUGCCUGGCCAAGGUGGGUGGGCAGCUUUCGUCAGUGGUCCCCUGACACUGUGAUUCCUCUUCUCUCCAAGAAUUGGAAGAAUAUUUCUUCCUAAGAGAGGGAUAGGGCAGGUGCUACUGCUGGUGGGCAGGACUUUGUCCGGUUCUGGACCAGGGCAUCUGUGCGAAGGGGGGAGCGGGGGCAAUAUAAUUUCCUUUGCUCAGGGCUGCAGAACAUACAGCUUUCAAUUAGGAUUCACCUCAACAGGCUGGCUCCCUGUGAUACAUGGCCCUUGGGGAAAGACAAAUGAAGCCUGGCACCGGGCGAGCUGUUCUCUGAGGAUAACUCUGCCCUCCGGGGAGUGUUGGUGAGAAUUUCUGGCAGGGGGAAAGGAUUGUGACCCGGGGAGAAGAAGACACACGGGCGUGAGUAUUGCUGUGAGGACUGUGGGUGAGGUGGCUCCAAGGAAGAGUCAAUGAGUGGAUGGAGCGUUAGAAAGGUGAGAUUUUAUGGAGGAAACUUGGCAGCUCUAAUUAGAAGCAGAAUAUGGAUUCCUCUCAGAAGGCAGCUCUGACAGACUUGCCCCUCCAUUUCACUAUUCACGCAGUUCGCAUGGCUUAGCAGAAACCCUGGUUACAAUGACGCCAAUUAGAAUAUCUGCACUGGCACCUAGUGGCACAUUUCCCUCGCUUUGCAUCUCAAGUAGUGCCUGGAAGAGGGAAUUUUAAUGAUGCCCUAUUAAGGCAGCUAAACAGUGCAGCAAAUAGUUCUCAGUUCCUCAGCUGGCAUUGUGAAGAAAAUAAUCUCUUCUAGUAGAAUUCUAGUUCUUAACAAUUGGGGGUUAUUGUUGGUUCUCAGAGGACCGCUGAUUCAGAUACCUUUUUGGAUGGGUGCAAAGGAAGAUGCUGCAAAUGUCUCUCUGGUUUGCAUGGAGGAGAGGAAGAAUUUUAUUCCUCUCAACCGACUUUUUAAAAAUGAGAAUUAUUUUGGAUAAUGAUCACAUAAUGAUAAGUAUGUUUAAAAUAAUGAUAUUCUUUUAAAACAAUGAUUUCUUCCCCCAUGGGCCAACUCAGGGUAACUGUGGGGAGGGAAGCUGAGUUACAGAGAAGUCCUGAGCCAAGGUUCCUGCAUCAUUACAUUUAGUAUAUUGCAUGAUAACAUGGGUUCCGUUAGUGGGCAGUCAUUUAAGCAGCUGCUACCAUUUCAAACCAAAGAAGCUGGCCCUGUUGGGAGUGACCCUCGAGAUUCAGGGCUAUGAAGCCCUGACUCUUGGGACCUCUUUGAAAUGCACACAGCUCGUCCCUGCUCCGAUUCCCCCUUGCACCCGGGAUGAGCCCCUAUUGACCGUUGGACUCCUGACUCCAGUCUGGACCGGUCCUCCUCCUUUUGCUGAACUGCAGGCCCGAGUCUGUGGGCUGGCUGUUGGCCGGAAUCCGCAUCAGGGCCAUGAGUGAAUGGUGUGGUUUACCCUACGGCGGAUUCUUGUCGGUACCAGGUUUUCACUCGCAGUACCUGUCUCCUUGUUCUUUGUACUUGUUUCUUCACUCACCUUUUCUUGCUUUUGGUUGCUAGCGUGUGCCUUCCAGGGUCAGGCGUUGCAUCAAAAGAGCCCCAUUCCCUAACGACGAUGGCUGCAUCCUCCUGAAACAAGUGGGCUGAGGCUGUAGCAGGAGAGCUGGAAAGUUUGCUCAUCUGAUGUGGAUUUGAAGGCCUCCUCGUUCCCUGAGACAUACGGCUUUGUAAACUAGGCCCUACAAUCUACAGUGGCCUCAAUGUUCAAGUAGAAGAAAGAGUCACAUGUCUCACUUUAAAUCAAAAGCUAGAAGCUUAGCGUGGAAGACAUGUUCAAAAGCUAAAAUAAGCCAAAAGCUAGGCCCCUGGUGACCGUUAGCCAAGUUGUGGAUGCAAAGGAAAAUCCUUGAAGGAAAUUCAAAGUGCUACUCCAGUGAACACGCAAAUGAUAAGAAAGAGAAACAGCCUUACUGCCGACACGGAGAAAGGCGCAGCGGUCUGGAGAGAAGAUUAAACCAGCCACAGCCUUUCCGAACGCCAAAGCCUCAUCCAGGGCAAGACCCUAAUUCUCUUCAAUUUUAUGAAAGUUGAUAGUGGUGAGGACGGCGCAGAAGAAAAAUUUGAAACUAACAGAGGUUGUUGCAUGAGGUGUAGGGCAGGAACCGUCUCUAUAACAUAGAAGUGCAAGUUGAAGCCGCAAGUGCUGAUGUAGACGCUGCAGCACGGAACCAGCCACAGUCUUUCACGAAGGUGGCUGCGCUGAACAACAGAUUUUCAGUGUCAACAAAACAGCUAGAGGAUCUUCACAGCUAGAGACGAGAAGUCAGCGCCUGGCCUCCAAGUAUCAAAGGACAGGCCGACUCUCUUGUUGGGAGCUAAUGCAGCUCGUGACUUCAAUUGAAGCCAGUGCUCACUUACUAUUGUGAAAAUCCUAGGGCCCGAAAGAAUUAGGCCGAAUCUACUCUGCCUGUGCUCUGAAAAUGGAACAACAAAGCCCGGAUGACAGCACAUCUGUCUACAACAUGGUUUCUGAAUAUUUUAAGCCCUCUGUUGAGACCUACUUCUUUUCAAGAUAACACUGCACAUUGAUGAUGUGUCUGGGUUCCCAAGGGCUCUGACGGAGGUGUUCACUGAGAUUUGUGUUGUUUUCCUGCUGCUAAUGAAACAUCCACUCUGCAGCCUGUGGCUCCAGCAAUAAUUGUGACUCUCAAGUCUUAUUAUUUAAGAAAUACCCUGUGUGAGGCUAUAGCUGCCAUCGACAGUGAUUCAUCUGAGGGAUCUGGGCAAAGUCCAUUGAAAACCUAGAAAGGAUUUGCUGUUUUAGGGUCCAUCAAAAACAUUGGUGAUUUGUGGGCAGAGGUAAAAAUAUCAACAUUAAGAGGAGUUUGGAAGAAGUUGUUCCCCAACCCUCAUGGAUGACUUCAGCGGGGUGGAAAGAGCAGAAGAACUAGAACUAGAAGUGGAAUCUGAAAGUGUGGCUGAAUUGCUGCAAUGUCAUGAUGGAACUUGAAUGGAUGAGGUUUCCCGCUUCUGCAUGAGCAAAGAAAGUGGUUUCUUAGGAUGGAAAUGCUCCUGGUAAAGAUGCUGCGAAGAUUGUUGACAUGACAACGAAGGAUUUAGAAUACUACGUACACUUAGUUGAUAAACAGUAGCAGAGUUUGAGAGGGUUGACUGCAAUUUUGAAAAGUUCUACUGUGAGUAAAAUGCUACGAAACAGCUUUGCCUGCUGCAGUCAUUUGGGAAAGGAAGAGUGAACCCAUGUCACACAGUUAGUGGUUGUCUUAUUUUGAGAAACUGCCACAGCCGCUCCAGCUUGAACCUGCCACCACCCUGGUUGGCCGACAGCCGUCCACACGGAGGCACUAGGACUCCCUGGAUGUUCGGAUGAGAAUUAGCAUUUUUUUAGCAGUAAAGCAUAUUUACAUUAAGGUAUGUACGUUGUUUUCUAAGACACAAUGCUAUUGCACACUUAAUAGACUACAGUGUAGCAUAAAUACAAUAUUUAUGUGCACAGGGAAACCAAAAAAUUCGUGUGAUUUGCUUUAUUGUGAUAUUUGCUAUAUUGAGAUGGUUUGAAACUGAACCUGUGCUAUCUCUGAGAUAUGGCUGUAUUUAUAAUGGGCAAUUUUAUUGUGUACUUACUCUUGCCAGACUCCAUACUGAGUUUGUUUAUUUAUUUUGUCUUUUUAGGGCCGCACCUGUGGCAUAUGGAGGUUUCCAGGCUAAGGGUC